UACACCUGUUCUGUGGAACUGUUGGUGAUAUGUGAUAGCUGUUAUCAGUGACACUUGCUUACCUCAACUUAUUUACGCAGGUUUUUAAGUAACAAUUGAAAAUACAUCAACAUGAUUGUUUGCUCACUUAAUGGUAUAUGAUGUAAAACAUUUUAUGACAUUAAAUAUUUGCAUUAUGUUUUUUAUUUCUAGAAAAUUUCAAGAAAUUUCAAGUUUCAUGGAAAUAUUACCAGGCGCCACUUUACGAAUAUCAUUGGUUAGGAGUUUUCCCGCGUUUUCUAUUUCGUGACUUCUAUAACCUCGGAAACACGUGAAGCACGUCAAAGAUACAAACCAACAAUAAUAGUGAAUGAGUGAUAAUUUCCAUGACAGAUGAUGACGUUGAUGUUCGUAAUUCUAUUUUGCAAUCAUACGUAUAUGAAAGAACGACAAACAAGUCGUGAUGAGUAUGGACUUACGUCAAUCUCUUAUAGUACUACAUGAACCGUAAUAUAGUCGCCUUGUAAAAGUGAACUUUAAUUGUUGCACAUUUAAAGUUCCUUGUAGACACAUUUAAAUGUUAUUAAACAGAACUAUGUACUUUGAACAAAUAGUUUUCCGAAGUACAGUCUGGAAUGGUGUUAAUUCUUUUUACAAGCGAAUUGGCGCUGAACUAACUUUUCGAAAGUGUUAAUCAAAAUAUUAGUUCAAAGCGUUAAACAUGUUUCAUUGUUCAGAUUGUUACAAAACUUUGGGCAUGUUUUAUGCGAAUAAGUUUAUUCAACUGUUUUACGUCCAGUGAGCAAACAUAAUUAAAUUUUAAAAAAGUAAUUAAAAUAUUUUUACAUGAUGAUAUGCAGCCCGAAUUUAAUUAUGAGUUUUUUUUGUUCUAAAAAUUAUUUUAAUAAAAAUAAAGUUAUAAAAUCAUCCAA
This is a long non-coding RNA of Dalotia coriaria, 911 nucleotides long. RefSeq lists it as uncharacterized. Lineage: Eukaryota; Metazoa; Arthropoda; Insecta; Coleoptera; Staphylinidae. The transcript is spliced from 3 exons. The record is from RefSeq and is a predicted model, not a curated record.